CUACGGGAGGCACCAGUGGGGAAUAUUGCACAAUGGGCGCAAGCCUGAUGCAGCAACGCCGCGUGAGGGAUGAAGGCCUUCGGGUUGUAAACCUCUUUUAGCAGGGAAGAAGCGAAAGUGACGGUACCUGCAGAAAAAGCACCGGCUAACUACGUGCCAGCAGCCGCGGAAAUACGUAGGGUGCAAGCGUUGUCCGGAAUUAUUGGGCGUAAAGAGCUCGUAGGCGGUUUGUCACGUCUGCUGUGAAAAUCCAAGGCUCAACCUUGGACUUGCAGUGGGUACGGGCAGGCUAGAGUGCGGUAGGGGAGAGGGGAAUUCCUGGUGUAGCGGUGGAAUGCGCAGAUAUCAGGAGGAACACCAAUGGCGAAGGCACAUCUCUGGGCCGUAACUGACGCUGAGGAGCGAAAGCGUGGGGAGCGAACAGGAUUAGAUACCCUUGUAGUC
This 444-nucleotide ribosomal RNA is filed under the name uncultured bacterium. Its description in RNAcentral is "partial 16S ribosomal RNA". It matches the Rfam family "Bacterial small subunit ribosomal RNA", at positions 339 to 795 of the family's 1533-position model. The record is from RNAcentral.